GACGAACGCUGGCGGCGUGCUUAACACAUGCAAGUCGAACGGAAAGGCCCUGCUUUUGUGGGGUGCUCGAGUGGCGAACGGGUGAGUAACACGUGAGUAACCUGCCCUUGACUUUGGGAUAACUUCAGGAAACUGGGGCGAAUACCGGAUAGGAGCUCCUGCUGCAUGGUGGGGGUGGGAAAGGUUCGGCGGUUGGGGAUGGCCUCGCGGCUUAUCAGCUUGUGGGUGGGGUAGUGGCUUACCAAGGCUUUGACGGGUAGCCGGCCUGAGAGGGUGACCGGCCACAUUGGGACUGCGAUACGGCCCAGACUCCUACGGGAGGCAGCAGUGGGGAAUAUUGCACAAUGGGCGGAAGCCUGAUGCAGCAACGCCGCGUGCGGGAUGACGGCCUUCGGGUUGUAAACCGCUUUCGCCUGUGACGAAGCGUGAGUGACGGUAAUGGGUAAAGAAGCACCGGCUAACUACGUG
This 468-nucleotide ribosomal RNA is filed under the name uncultured bacterium. Its description in RNAcentral is "partial 16S ribosomal RNA". It matches the Rfam family "Bacterial small subunit ribosomal RNA", at positions 28 to 507 of the family's 1533-position model. The record is from RNAcentral.